This 433-nucleotide ribosomal RNA is filed under the name uncultured bacterium. Its description in RNAcentral is "partial 16S ribosomal RNA". It matches the Rfam family "Bacterial small subunit ribosomal RNA", at positions 29 to 507 of the family's 1533-position model. The record is from RNAcentral.
AACGAACGCUGGCGGCAUGCCUAACACAUGCGAGUCGAACGAGACCUUCGGGUCUAGUGGCGCACGGGUGCGUAACGCGUGGGAACCUGCCCUUAGGUUCGGAAUAACUCCCCGAAAGGGGUGCUAAUACCGGAUAAUGUCUUCGGACCAAAGAUUUAUCGCCUUUGGAUGGGCCCGCGUUGGAUUAGCUAGUUGGUAGGGUAAAAGCCUACCAAGGCGACGAUCCAUAGCUGGUCUGAGAGCAUGAUCAGCCACACUGGGACUGAGACACGGCCCAGACUGCUACGGGAGGGAGCAGUGGGGAAUAUUGGACAAGGGGCGAAAGCCUGAUCCAGCAAUGCCGCGUGAGUGAUGAAGGCCGUAGGGUUGUAAAGCUCUUUUACCCGGGAUGAGAAUGACAGUACCGGGAGAAUAAGCGCCGGCUAACUACGUG